AGACAGACUAUGAAGAGAUACAUAGGGUGAGAAACGGAGGCCUUCAGCCAACAGCUGGGAGAAGCUGAGUCCCAUCAGCCAUUCAAAAGACUGCAGCCCCAGCCAAGAGUUUGAUGUAACCUCAGGAGAGACCCUGAGCCAGAACCACCUAGAAAAGCUGGGAUACAUGAAGACUGCCAUCCCUUGAGUCACUUGCCCUGUAGCUGCCACUGUUGGAAAAGGGCUUGCUUCUGUGUCCUUGUGCCCACUUUGAAAAUCCCUGGGAAGUCCUUGGAGUCAGAUGAGCAGGCCUCCGCCACUCUGCCAAAAAGUCUGUUCACAGGAAGUUUCACAUCACUAGAGAAGAGAGAAGAAGGACAUUUGUACUGGGAGGAGUCGACCGGUCCCAGUAAGGAGAAAGUAGCUACAGCGUCAUGGGUGAGCUGGGUCCCCCAAAAAGGAACUUUAAGGGAAUGGACUGAAUCAAGUCUGAGAUGUCCCCAAAGCAAGACCAAAGAACUGAGGAAGAGAAGCAUUCAUCAGAAACCAAAAUUCAGCUACAAGUGAGCAUCCAGAUGGAGGUAUUAUGAAGAGGAACUGAGACUGAGGGCAAAAGGUGCCAGCCAGAAUCCUGGAUAGGAGAGCAAGAACCAGGACCUCAUUUAAGAGACAACCUGCUUAAGGCAGAGUAAGGUGAGAUUGGAUUCACGCAAAGACCUGGAAUUCAAGUAGGUUAAUGAACAGACAGUGUGUGCCUAUACCACGAAUUUACAAUAAUAAUAAGGGUGCUAAUAA
This 774-nucleotide long non-coding RNA is filed under the name Homo sapiens (human). RNAcentral describes it as "novel transcript". The record is from RNAcentral. Lineage: Eukaryota; Metazoa; Chordata; Mammalia; Primates; Hominidae.